The sequence is a transfer RNA, 77 nucleotides long. It matches the Rfam family "tRNA". From Rfam's summary of the family: Transfer RNA (tRNA) molecules are approximately 80 nucleotides in length. Their secondary structure includes four short double-helical elements and three loops (D, anti-codon, and T loops). Further hydrogen bonds mediate the characteristic L-shaped molecular structure. tRNAs have two regions of fundamental functional importance: the anti-codon, which is responsible for specific mRNA codon recognition, and the 3' end, to which the tRNAs corresponding amino acid is attached (by aminoacyl-tRNA synthetases). tRNAs cope with the degeneracy of the genetic code in two manners: having more than one tRNA (with a specific anti-codon) for a particular amino acid; and 'wobble' base-pairing, i.e. permitting non-standard base-pairing at the 3rd anti-codon position.
GCGGUGGUAGCUCAGCUGGUUAGAGCGUCGCCCUGUCACGGCGAAGGCCGAGGGUUCAAAUCCCUUCCACCGCGCAA